Molecule: long non-coding RNA, 814 nt
Organism: Terrapene triunguis (Three-toed box turtle)
Lineage: Eukaryota; Metazoa; Chordata; Testudines; Emydidae
Exons: 3
Source: RefSeq, a predicted model, not a curated record
CGGAGAGGGAGAAUGUUUGGAGCUGAAACUUUCCAUGCUUAGGCUUAGCUCUAAAGCCUUACAACAACUGUGGUUUCUGGGAGCCUCUAAACAAGUCAUCCUCAAGCCUCUCAAGGUCUGUGUACCUAGCCCUCUGCUUUGUUCGGAGACUUGCAGAAUUUUGUUUACAUGAACUUUGUUGCUCAACCAUGUGAGCUUAGAGAUGCAGUCAGUCUUAUCUCAAAUCCUCUACUGAAACUCAAAAGCAAGGUUGAAAAUGUAAAGCUGAGGCACUUGCGUCAGCAGCAGUAAAGUCGCUGUGAGCUCUUCUCCCUGUUCCUAACAACUGCUCGCUCUUGAAAAGCAGCAAUAGCCAAAUAAGGUGCCGAAGCACAGGACUGAGAUUUAGACAUAAAUGAUAUCUACCAGAUCUGCCUUCAGUUUAGCUCCCACGCCUGACACUUCUUGUGGACUUCUGCCUUUUCUUUCUGCAACUCGAAGUGGAAUGCUUUCUCUGUGACUCUACGGGCAGUUUUAUUUAGAAAACAGCUAUCCUCGCUGGCACUGGUUGGACUCUGCAACAAUUGGUUCGUUAGAUAAAUAUAGCCCACUUUUCUGUUUAUAAACAAUACAACCCAAAAUCUUGUUUGCUCAAAUGUUCAUAAGUAGCAAAUUUAACAGGACCCAGACCUGCUCAAAGGAAACCGCUGUUUCGAAUCCUAAGGAAUGUUCAUGAACACUGCACUAUUCGCCCAACUCUAGACUGUUGCCUUUCUAUCUGAGCUGAGUUUACUCUUCAGCAAAGGCAACAUUUCUGAAAAAUCCUAGAAAGGAG